UGCAGUCGUACGAUAGAUAGACACACGCUUGCUGGGUGGAUUAGUGGCGAACGGGUGAGUAACACGUGAGUAACCUGCCCUUAACUCUGGGAUAAGCCUGGGAAACUGGGUCUAAUACCGGAUAGGAGCGCCUACCGCAUGGUGGGUGUUGGAAAGAUUUAUCGGUUUUGGAUGGACUCGCGGCCUAUCAGCUUGUUGGUGAGGUAAUGGCUCACCAAGGCGACGACGGGUAGCCGGCCUGAGAGGGUGACCGGCCACACUGGGACUGAGACACGGCCCAGACUCCUACGGGAGGCAGCAGUGGGGAAUAUUGCACAAUGGGCGCAAGCCUGAUGCAGCGACGCCGCGUGAGGGAUGACGGCCUUCGGGUUGUAAACCUCUUUCAGUAGGGAAGAAGCGAAAGUGACGGUACCUGCAGAAGAAGCACCGGCUAACUACGUGCCAGCAGCCGCGGUAAUACGUAGGGUGCGAGCGUUAUCCGGAAUUAUUGGGCGUAAAGAGCUCGUAGGCGGUUUGUCGCGUCUGUCGUGAAAGUCCGGGGCUUAACCCCGGAUCUGCGGUGGGUACGGGCAGACUAGAGUGCAGUAGGGGAGACUGGAAUUCCUGGUGUAGCGGUGGAAUGCGCAGAUAUCAGGAGGAACACCGAUGGCGAAGGCAGGUCUCUGGGCUGUAACUGACGCUGAGGAGCGAAAGCAUGGGGAGCGAACAGGAUUAGAUACCCUGGUAGUCCAUGCCGUAAACGUUGGGCACUAGGUGUGGGGACCAUUCCACGGUUUCCGCGCCGCAGCUAACGCAUUAAGUGCCCCGCCUGGGGAGUACGGCCGCAAGGCUAAAACUCAAAGGAAUUGACGGGGGCCCGCACAAGCGGCGGAGCAUGCGGAUUAAUUCGAUGCAACGCGAAGAACCUUACCAAGGCUUGACAUGUUCUCGAUCGCCGUAGAGAUACGGUUUCCCCUUUGGGGCGGGUUCACAGGUGGUGCAUGGUUGUCGUCAGCUCGUGUCGUGAGAUGUUGGGUUAAGUCCCGCAACGAGCGCAACCCUCGUUCCAUGUUGCCAGCACGUAAUGGUGGGGACUCAUGGGAGACUGCCGGGGUCAACUCCGGAGGAAGGUGAGGACGACGUCAAAUCAUCAUGCCCCUUAUGUCUUGGGCUUCACGCAUGCUACAAUGGCCGGUACAAUGGGUUGCGAUACUGUGAGGUGGAGCUAAUCCCAAAAAGCCGGUCUCAGUUCGGAUUGGGGUCUGCAACUCGACCCCAUGAAGUCGGAGUCGCUAGUAAUCGCAGAUCAGCAACGCUGCGGUGAAUACGUUCCCGGGCCUUGUACACACCGCCCGUCAAGUCACGAAAGUCGGUAACACCCGAAGCC
This is a ribosomal RNA of 1366 nucleotides. It matches the Rfam family "Bacterial small subunit ribosomal RNA", at positions 56 to 1428 of the family's 1533-position model.